GCCUGGAUAGCUCAGUUGGUUGGAACGUGCUGCUGAUAACACCAAGGUUGCAGGUUCAAUCCCCACAUGGGACA
This 74-nucleotide transfer RNA is filed under the name Podarcis lilfordi (Lilford's wall lizard). Its description in RNAcentral is "tRNA.Ile". Lineage: Eukaryota; Metazoa; Chordata; Lepidosauria; Squamata; Lacertidae. The record is from RNAcentral.